RNAcentral lists this unclassified non-coding RNA (355 nucleotides) under soil metagenome. RNAcentral's name for it is "partial contains 5.8S ribosomal RNA, internal transcribed spacer 2, and large subunit ribosomal RNA". The stretch from base 1 to 121 matches the Rfam family "5.8S ribosomal RNA", at positions 35 to 154 of the family's 154-position model. The record is from RNAcentral.
GAUGAAGAACGCAGCGAAAUGCGAUAAGUAAUGUGAAUUGCAGAAUUCCGUGAAUCAUCGAAUCUUUGAACGCACAUUGCGCCCCCUGGCAUUCCGGGGGGGCAUGCCUGUCCGAGCGUCAUUUCUGCCCUCCAGCCCGGCUGGGUGUUGGGCGCUGUCCCCCCGGGGACACGCCCCAAAGGCAGUGGCGGCGCCGCGUCGGGUCCUCGAGCGUAUGGGGCUUUGUCACCCGCUCGGGACGGACUCGUCGGCGCUGGUCUUCCUCCAGGCGACCCUUCGGGGCUCGUCUUCCUUCGGUUGACCUCGGAUCAGGUAGGGUUACCCGCUGAACUUAAGCAUAUCAAUAAGCGGAGGA